This 253-nucleotide ribosomal RNA is filed under the name uncultured bacterium. RNAcentral's name for it is "partial 16S ribosomal RNA". It matches the Rfam family "Bacterial small subunit ribosomal RNA", at positions 524 to 776 of the family's 1533-position model. The record is from RNAcentral.
UACGUAGGUGGCAAGCGUUGUCCGGAUUUACUGGGCGUAAAGAGCGCGCAGGCGGUCGAUCAAGUCGAGUGUGGAAGCCCCCGGCUCAACUGGGGAGGGUCAUUCGAUACUGAUCGACUCGAAGGCAGGAGAGGGUAGUGGAAUUCCCGGUGUAGUGGUGAAAUGCGUAGAUAUCGGGAGGAACACCAGUGGCGAAGGCGACUACCUGGCCUGUUCUUGACGCUGAGGCGCGAAAGCUAGGGGAGCAAACGGG